RNAcentral lists this long non-coding RNA (442 nucleotides) under Ricinus communis (castor bean). RNAcentral describes it as "long non-coding RNA (RCOM_LNC003822)". Lineage: Eukaryota; Viridiplantae; Streptophyta; Magnoliopsida; Malpighiales; Euphorbiaceae. The record is from RNAcentral.
GCCGCUACAGCGUAAAAGACUUAUUGACGAUGACCACUUGGUUUUGGGAAAGACAAAAAACAAAGUUCUAGACAGUCCAAUCAAUAUGUCUCUUCCUAUAAGUUUUUCCUUUGCCGACUCAUCCAGAACAGUGAAAUCUUAUAAAAAAAAAAGUCCAAGACAAUCAACAAAAAGAGACAAAGAAGAGUGAAAGACUGUACCUGAAAGAAACAAUCAAGGGAUCUUCAGCUUGGAACUGGGAAAGUUGACGGAGAGGAAUGUUGAAACCUUCAACCCAGUUGAUAUUCUGCAAAGGACUAGCUCCAGAUGAAGUAAGGGCGGGAGUACCCCAAAAGUAGGACAAUGGAGUAGCACUACUCACUUCUUUUUUGAACUCAAAAGAAAGAGAAAAUAGUUUCUUGGAAUAAUCUUCUAGUUUGCUCAAAAGGGUUGAUGGAAUUCC